Molecule: long non-coding RNA, 3287 nt
Organism: Pieris napi
Lineage: Eukaryota; Metazoa; Arthropoda; Insecta; Lepidoptera; Pieridae
Exons: 5
Source: RefSeq, a predicted model, not a curated record
UUUUAUAAGAAAUUAAAAAGUUCGGUAUAAGCAAUAAUAAAAAUAUUAUAGGAAAAAGUUGCGUUACAGGAAUAAUCAGGUAUUUUAUAAGAACAGAGCAGCAGCAAUUAAAAAACUUUGAAAUAAGCAAUAAUUAAAAUAUUAUAGGAAAAAGUUGCGUUUCAGAAAUUAGGUUGCGUUACAGGAAAAAUCAAGUAUUUUAUAACAACAGAGCAGCAGCAAUUAAAAAACUUUGAAAUAAGCAAUAAUGAAAAUAUUAUAGGAAAAAGUUGCGUUACAAGAAUAAUGAAGUAUUUUAUAAGAACAGAGCAGUAGCAAUUAAAAAACAUUGAAAUAAGCGAUAAUGAAAAUAUUAUAGGAAAGUUGCGUUACAAAAAUUAGGUUGCGUUACAGGAAAAAUCAAGUAUUUUAUAACAACAGAGCAGCAGCAAUUAAAACACUAUGAAAAAAGCAAUAAUGAAAAUAUUAUAGGAAAAAGUUGCGUUACAGAAAGUAGGUUUUAUUGGAACUGGAAUAAUCAAGUAUUUUAUAGGGAAUUUAAAAACUUCGGAAUAAGCAAUAAUAAAAAUAUUAUAGGAGAAAGUUGCGUUACAGAAAUUAGAUAGCGUUACAGGAAUAAUCAGGUAUUUUAUAAGAACAGAGUAGCAAUUAAAAAACGUUGAAAUAAGCAAAAAUGAAAAUAUAGGAAAAAGGUGCGUCACAGAAAUUAGAUUGCGUUACAAGAAUAAUCAAGUAUUUUUUAAGAACAGAGCAGUAGCAAUUAAAAAACUUUGAAGUAAGCAAUAAUGUAGAAAUUAUAGGAAAAAAGUUGCGUUACAGAAAGUAGGUUUUAUUGGAACUGGAGUAAUCAAGUAUUUUAUAAGAAAUUAAAAAGUUCGGAAUAAGCAAUAAUAAAAAUAUUAUAGGAAAAAGUUGCGUUACAAGAAUAAUGAAGUAUUUUAUAAGAACAGAGCAGUAGCAAUUAAAAAACUUUGAAAUAAGCAAUAAUGAAAAUAUUAUAGGAAAAAGUUGCGUCACAGAAAUUAGGUUGCGUUACAGAAAUUAAUCAAGUAUUUUAUGAGAACAAAACAGUAGCAAAUAAAAAGCUUCUACAUAAGCAAUAAUGAAAAUGUAAUAGGAAAAAGUUGCGUUACAGAAAUUAGAUAGCGUUACAGGAAUAAUCAGGUAUUUUAUAAGAACAGAGGAGUAGCAAUUAAAAAUCUUUGAAAUAAGCAAUAAUGAAAAUAUAGGAAAAAUUUGCGUUACAGAAAUUAGAUAGCGUUACAGGAAUAAUCAGGUAUUUUAUAAGAACAGAGGAGUAGCAAUUAAAAAACUUUGAAAUAAGCAAUAAUGAAAAUAUAGGAAAAAGUUGCGUUACAAGAAUAAUAAAGUAUUUUUUAAGAACAGAGCAGUAGCAAUUAAAAAACUUUGAAAUAAGCAAUAAUGUAGAAAUUAUAGGAAAAAAGUUGCGUUACAGAAAGUAGGUUUUAUUGGAACUGGAGUAAUCAAGUAUUUUAUAAGAAAUUAAAAAGUUCGGAAUAAUCAAUAAUAAAAAUAUUAUAGGAAAAAGUUGCGUUACAAGAAUAAUGAAGUAUUUUAUAAGAACAGAGCAGCAGCAAAUAAAAAACUUUGAAAUAAGCAAUAAUUAAAAUAUUAUAGGAAAAAGUUGCGUUUCAGAAAUUAGGUUGCGUUACAGAAAUUAAUCAAGUAUUUUAUGAGAACAAAACAGUAGCAAAUAAAAAGCUUCUACAUAAGCAAUAAUGAAAAUGUAAUAGGAAAAAGUUGCGUUACAGAAAGUAGGUUUUAUUGGAACUGGAAUAAUCAAGUAUUUUAUAGGGAAUUAAAAAAGUUCGGAAUAAGCAAUAAUAAAAAUAUUAUAGGAAAAAAUUGCGUUACAAGAAUAAUGAAGUAUUUUAUAAGAACAGAGCAGUAGCAAUUAAAAAACUUUGAAAUAAGCGAUAAUGAAAAUAUUAUAGGAAAGUUGCGUUACAAAAAUUAGGUUGCGUUACAGGAAAAAUCAAGUAUUUUAUAACAACAGAGCAGCAGCAAUUAAAACACUGAAAAAAGCAAUAAUGAAAAUAUUAUAGGUAAAAGUUGCGUCACAGAAAUUAGGUUGCGUUACAGAAAUUAAUCAAGUAUUUUAAGAGAACAAAACAGUAGCAAAUAAAAAGCUUCUACAUAAGCAAUAAUGAAAAUGUAAUAGGAAAAAGUUGCGUUACAGAAAGUAGGUUUUAUUGGAACUGGAGUAAUCAAGUAUUUUAUAAGAAAUUAAAAAGUUCGGAAUAAGCAAUAAUAAAAAUAUUAUAGGAAAAAGUUGCGUUACAGAAAUAAUCAGGUAUUUUAUAAGAACAGAGCAGCAGCAAAUAAAAAACUUUGAAAUAAGCAAUAAUUAAAAUAUUAUAGGAAAAAGUUGCGUUUCAGAAAUUAGGUUGCGUUACAGGAAAAAUCAAGUAUUUUAUAACAACAGAGCAGCAGCAAUUAAAAAACUUUGAAAUAAGCAAUAAUGAAAAUAUUAUAGGAAAAAGUUGCGUUACAAGAAUAAUGAAGUAUUUUAUAAGAACAGAGCAGUAGCAAUUAAAAAACUUUGAAAUAAGCAAUAAUGAAAAUAUUAUAGGAAAAAGUUGCGUCACAGAAAUUAGAUAGCGUUACAGGAAUAAUCAGGUAUUUUAUAAGAACAGAGGAGUAGCAAUUAAAAAUCUUUGAAAUAAGCAAUAAUGAAAAUAUAGGAAAAAGUUGCGUCACAGAAAUUAGAUUGCGUUACAAGAAUAAUCAAGUAUUUUAUAAGAACAGAGCAGUAGCAAUUAAAAAACUUUGAAAUAAGCAAUAAUGAAAAUGUAAUAGGAAAAAGUUGCGUUACAGAAAGGAGGUUUUAUUGGAACUGGAAUAAUCAAGUAUUUUAUAGGGAAUUAAAAAAGUUCGGAAUAAGCAAUAAUGAAAAUAUAGGAAAAAGUUGCGUCACAGAAAUUAGAUUGCGUUACAAGAAUAAUCAUGUAUUUUAUAAGAACAGAGGAGUAGCAAUUAAAAAUCUUUGAAAUAAGCAAUAAUGAAAAUAUAGGAAAAAGUUGCGUUACAGGAAUAAUCAUGUAUUUUAUAAGAACAGAGGAGUAGCAAUUAAAAUACUUUGAAAUAAGCAAUAAUGAAAAUAUAGGAAAAAGUUGCGUUAUAGGAAUAAUCAAGUAUUUUAUAAGAAAUGAGCAGAAGCAAUUAAAAAACUUUGAAAUAAAAAAUUAUAGGACAAAGUUGCGUUACAGGAAUAAUCUAGUAUUUUAUAAGAACAGUGGAGUAGCAAUUAAAAAACUUUGAAAUAA